AGACAACUUUUGGCGGUGGAUCUCUUGGCUCACGCAUCGAUGAAGAACGCAGCCAGCUGCGAUAAGUAGUGUGAAUUGCAGAAUUCAGUGAAUCAUCGAAUCUUUGAACGCAAAUGGCGCUCUUGGGUUCUCCCAGGAGCAUGUCUGUCUGAGUGUCG
This 158-nucleotide ribosomal RNA is filed under the name Oulastrea crispata. RNAcentral's name for it is "5.8S ribosomal RNA". It matches the Rfam family "5.8S ribosomal RNA". From Rfam's summary of the family: 5.8S ribosomal RNA (5.8S rRNA) is a component of the large subunit of the eukaryotic ribosome. It is transcribed by RNA polymerase I as part of the 45S precursor that also contains 18S and 28S rRNA. Lineage: Eukaryota; Metazoa; Cnidaria; Anthozoa; Scleractinia; Oulastreidae. The record is from RNAcentral.